CCAAGGUAUAGAUCUAUUGGACCAGAAGGUUGAAUUGCUCCAAAGUGAUGGCAGCAAGGGGUAGUUGUGCCCAAUCCAAGCUACAUAAGGAUGUGUUGGAAUGGGAAAAGGUAUUAGAUGCCCUCUUGCGUGAAGCAUUUGAUGCUCUUCUAUGCGACUUCAUAAUUAUAGACUCUCUAUGCGACUCCAUAAUUAUGGACUCUCCUUUCUAAGUUUAAAGAGUGGCCCUUCCUCU
Molecule: long non-coding RNA, 235 nt
Filed under: Elaeis guineensis (African oil palm)
Lineage: Eukaryota; Viridiplantae; Streptophyta; Magnoliopsida; Arecales; Arecaceae
Description: long non-coding RNA (EGUI_LNC038952)
Source: RNAcentral